AACGAACGCUGGCGGCAUGCCUAACACAUGCAAGUCGAACGAGACCUUCGGGUCUAGUGGCGCACGGGUGCGUAACGCGUGGGAACCUGCCCUUAGGUUCGGAAUAACUCCCCGAAAGGGGUGCUAAUACCGGAUAAUGUCUUCGGACCAAAGAUUUAUCGCCUUUGGAUGGGCCCGCGUUGGAUUAGCUAGUUGGUAGGGUAAAAGCCUACCAAGGCGACGAUCCAUAGCUGGUCUGAGAGGAUGAUCAGCCACACUGGGACUGAGACACGGCCCAGACUCCUCCGGGAGGCCGCAGUGGGGAAUAUUGGACAAUGGGCGAAACCCGGAUCCAGCAAUGCCGCGGGAGUGAUGAAGGCCUUAGGGUUGUAAAGCUCUUUUACCCGGGAUGAUAAUGCCCGUCCCGGGAGAAUAAGCCCCGGCUAACUCCUU
This 432-nucleotide ribosomal RNA is filed under the name uncultured bacterium. RNAcentral describes it as "partial 16S ribosomal RNA". It matches the Rfam family "Bacterial small subunit ribosomal RNA", at positions 29 to 506 of the family's 1533-position model. The record is from RNAcentral.